GCGGGGAUACCCAAGUCUGGUCCAACCCUUUUUGGAGAACAAUGUUUUUGCAAGAUUUGAAAUAUAUUACUACCAAAAAUGGUUACAGAUAAAGGGGCUAGGCUUAGGACCUAGUAGCUUAGUGCUUUCGUCGGUUCAAAUCCGACUCCCCGCA
RNAcentral lists this transfer RNA (154 nucleotides) under Candidatus Aenigmatarchaeota archaeon. RNAcentral's name for it is "tRNA-Leu". Lineage: Archaea; Nanobdellati; Candidatus Aenigmatarchaeota. The record is from RNAcentral.